CUUAUCCAGAGCGGCAGAGGGACAGGCCCGAUGAAGCCCGGCAACCGGUCGGCGCGCCCGACGAGGUGCCAAUUCCUGCGGAUGGCGACAUCCGAAAGAUGAGG
This 104-nucleotide non-coding RNA is filed under the name bovine gut metagenome. RNAcentral describes it as "SAM riboswitch (S box leader)". It matches the Rfam family "SAM riboswitch aptamer (S box leader)". Rfam says of the family: The SAM riboswitch is found upstream of a number of genes which code for proteins involved in methionine or cysteine biosynthesis in Gram-positive bacteria. The record is from RNAcentral.